GGGAGGCAGCAGUGGGGAAUUUUGGACAAUGGGCGCAAGCCUGAUCCAGCAAUGCCGCGUGCAGGAUGAAGGCCUUCGGGUAGUAAACUGCUUUUGUACGGAACGAAAGGCUCUGGGUUAAUACCCUGGGGAUAUGACGGUACCGUAAGAAUAAGCACCGGCUAACUACGUGCCAGCAGCC
Molecule: ribosomal RNA, 181 nt
Filed under: uncultured Comamonas sp.
Lineage: Bacteria; Pseudomonadati; Pseudomonadota; Betaproteobacteria; Burkholderiales; Comamonadaceae
Description: partial 16S ribosomal RNA
Rfam family: Bacterial small subunit ribosomal RNA
Source: RNAcentral